UACCCAAGAUUCAUGGACUUGAAAGUUGGUGGUUCAGCUAGGUACUUGGUUACAAAAAGCCAGAUAUUGUUGGCUAACAGUAAUUACAAUGACGCUUUGUACAAUUCUAACUUUGUUUCUUUUUUUCGGGGCUUUGGAGUCGUUUAAAUGCGCGAUUGAAUGUCAAUGACAUUUCCAGGACUGUUUUAAACUACCGGCGAUGACGUUAUCGCGUAGUUUACACAGGCUAACGUUACACAGACAAAUUGUCCUGUGAGAGAUGACGGUGGUGUGUUGUUACUGAGAAGUGUGAACCUGAGAUAAUAUUUAAAGUAAUAAACAGAACUGCUUGAUAAAUAAAGAGCAAGGCCAACGCCAUCAAAACGCCUAGAGCUACAGCUACUAGCCACAAGAAGGCCAAAGUCUGUUUCCACGGAGACCAAGAGAAUCGCCCACAGGAGGAUAAGGAGCUGGCCGCUAUUGGCCCCUGACGCGAUGAUGUCACCACCCCUGGGGACCUCUUCACUACUGCUGCACUGGUCCAGGAGCAUAAUGAUGAUGUCACAGGCUGACUCUCACGCCAUUGACCAUGCCAGCUGGAUGACUCACCCAGGAAAGGGAGGCCUCUCUGUGUACCUGAACAGUGAAGAGGAAAAUCUGCUACUGAGGGGAAAAAGGACGAUGAUCUUGGCACAC
This is a long non-coding RNA of Anguilla anguilla (European eel), 675 nucleotides long. RefSeq lists it as uncharacterized. The record is from RefSeq and is a predicted model, not a curated record. The transcript has 3 exons. Lineage: Eukaryota; Metazoa; Chordata; Actinopteri; Anguilliformes; Anguillidae.